Non-coding RNA from Pelobates cultripes (western spadefoot toad), 358 nucleotides. NCBI's taxonomy places the organism in Eukaryota, Metazoa, Chordata, Amphibia, Anura, Pelobatidae. The record is from the annotation of a GenBank genome assembly.
CUCACUCUGUCACCCCCUCACUCUAGUGACAGAGGGAGGGAGGGGGUGACUAGUGACAGAGUGAGAGAGAGGGUGACUAGUGACAGAGUGAGGAAGGGGGUGACACAGUGACAGAGUGAGGGAGGGGGUGACUAGUGACAGAGUGAAGGAGGUGGUGACCGUCACUAGUCACCCCCUCCCUCUCUCUGUCACUAGUGACACCCUCCCUCACUCUGUCACUAGUCACCCCCUCCCUCACUGUCACUAGUCACCCCCUCCCUCUCUCUGUCACUAGUCACACCCUCCCUCUCUCUGUCACUAGUCACCCCCUCCCUCACUCUUUCACUAGAGUGAGGGGGUGACUGUCACUAGUCACCCC